AUCACCCUGCUUGGUGCGUGAUGUGCCCUUUUAGACCCACAACAUUUAUAAGGGACGCCGGAAUCUUCCUUGGUGGAUUGUAGACCUCCCGCGUGGCUUGCCCGCGGAAGCUGGGAACAGAGAAGCCCUGGAGCGGCGACCCACCUGCCAGGAUCGUGCAGGUUAUAAAUGGGCACACACGGCUUAAGCGGGGUUUUU
RNAcentral lists this non-coding RNA (198 nucleotides) under Oscillospiraceae bacterium. RNAcentral describes it as "6S RNA". It matches the Rfam family "6S / SsrS RNA". Rfam says of the family: E. coli 6S RNA was the first non coding RNA to be sequenced, but its function was unknown until recently. It consists of 184 nucleotides that fold into an extended hairpin structure with a large single-stranded internal bulge. Lineage: Bacteria; Bacillati; Bacillota; Clostridia; Eubacteriales; Oscillospiraceae. The record is from RNAcentral.